CGCCGCCUGCCACGAGGGAUACGCGAGCUGCUUCUUUCGCAGCGUCAACGCGGACGCUGCGGUUGAAAUCCGCGAGCGGCGGC
This 83-nucleotide transfer RNA is filed under the name Allorhodopirellula solitaria. RNAcentral's name for it is "Planctomycetes bacterium CA85 tRNA-Lys". Lineage: Bacteria; Pseudomonadati; Planctomycetota; Planctomycetia; Pirellulales; Pirellulaceae. The record is from RNAcentral.